CAAAGAAUAGUUUAUAAAAAUAAUAAUUUUGGGGAUUAUAGAUAAAGAAAAAUCUUUUUCUUUGA
RNAcentral lists this transfer RNA (65 nucleotides) under Polyptychus trilineatus. RNAcentral describes it as "tRNA-Pro". Lineage: Eukaryota; Metazoa; Arthropoda; Insecta; Lepidoptera; Sphingidae. The record is from RNAcentral.